Molecule: ribosomal RNA, 497 nt
Filed under: uncultured bacterium
Lineage: Bacteria
Description: partial 16S ribosomal RNA
Rfam family: Bacterial small subunit ribosomal RNA
Source: RNAcentral
GAUGAACGCUGGCGGCGUGCCUAAUACAUGCAAGUCGAGCGAACAGACGAGGAGCUUGCUCCUCUGACGUUAGCGGCGGACGGGUGAGUAACACGUGGAUAACCUACCUAUAAGACUGGGAUAACUUCGGGAAACCGGAGCUAAUACCGGAUAAUAUAUUGAACCGCAUGGUGCAAUAGUGAAAGACGGUUUUGCUGGCACUUAUAGAUGGAUCCGCGCCGCAUUAGCUAGUUGGGAAGGUAACGGCUUACCAAGGCAACGAUGCGUAGCCGACCUGAGAGGCUGAUCGGCCACACUGGAACUGAGACACGGUCCAGACUCCUACGGGAGGCAGCAGUAGGGAAUCUUCCGCAAUGGGCGAAAGCCUGACGGAGCAACGCCGCGUGAGUGAUGAAGGUCUUCGGAUCGUAAAACUCUGUUAUUAGGGAAGAACAAAUGUGUAAGUAACUAUGCACGUCUUGACGGUACCUAAUCAGAAAGCCACGGCUAACUACGUG